UUGAAAGGGAAACGAUUGAAGUCAGUCAUACCAACGGGAAAAUCAACCUCUUGAGCUCGGUCUCGUGGGUUUUUGAAGAGUUUCAAAAGCCUUCGGAUUCGCGGGAUUGGGAUCUCCUGGCGUACUUUUUCGUACGGUUAGUCAACAUCGNNUUUGAAUGUCNUAAAAUGACUGGAGNAAUGUAGCUUCGAUCUCGUAUUGAAGUGUUAUANNCNUNGGGUAGAUGUGAUGUUUGAGACCGAGGAUUGCAACGGAUACCCUUCAGGGCUAUUNNUCUGANNNCUGAUACGUUGCCUUGAUGUUGAAAGCUCGCUUAUGAUGUUAGGGUAUUACGGUCAGAAGGUUAGAGCGAAUACAUUCGUUAAGGAUGUUGACGUA
Molecule: ribosomal RNA, 378 nt
Filed under: uncultured Glomeromycotina
Lineage: Eukaryota; Fungi; Glomeromycota
Description: partial large subunit ribosomal RNA
Source: RNAcentral